AACCCCGCAGGAAGUAAGUGCAAAAGACU
This 29-nucleotide non-coding RNA is filed under the name Mus musculus (house mouse). The record is from RNAcentral. Lineage: Eukaryota; Metazoa; Chordata; Mammalia; Rodentia; Muridae.